GGCUGCAACCCGCCUGUAUGAAGUUAGAAUCGCUAGUAAUCGCGGAUCAGCAUGCCGCGGUGAAUACGUUCCCGGGCCUUGUACACACCGCCCGUCACACCAUGAGAGUCGGGAACACCCGAAGUCCGUAGCCUAACCGCAAGGGGGCGCGGCCGAAGGUGGGUUCGAUAAUUGGGGUGAAGUCGUAACAAGGUACC
RNAcentral lists this ribosomal RNA (197 nucleotides) under uncultured bacterium. RNAcentral describes it as "partial 16S ribosomal RNA". It matches the Rfam family "Bacterial small subunit ribosomal RNA", at positions 1303 to 1500 of the family's 1533-position model. The record is from RNAcentral.